Molecule: non-coding RNA, 27 nt
Filed under: Mus musculus (house mouse)
Lineage: Eukaryota; Metazoa; Chordata; Mammalia; Rodentia; Muridae
Source: RNAcentral
UGCCCAGGGAGCAUGGAGCUUGGCCAG